ACGGAGGGUGCAAGCGUUGUCCGGAUUUACUGGGUUUAAAGGGUACGUAGGCGGCCAAUUAAGUCAGUGGUGAAAUAUGUCGGCUCAACCGGCAAAGUGCCAUUGAUACUGGUUAGCUAGAGUGUUGUAUAGGUGGGCGGAAUUGAUGGUGUAGCGGUGAAAUGCAUAGAUACCAUCAAGAACACCAAUUGCGAAGGCAGCUCACUGGGCAACAACUGACGCUGAGGUACGAAAGCGUGGGGAGCGAACAGG
This 252-nucleotide ribosomal RNA is filed under the name uncultured bacterium. Its description in RNAcentral is "partial 16S ribosomal RNA". It matches the Rfam family "Bacterial small subunit ribosomal RNA", at positions 525 to 776 of the family's 1533-position model. The record is from RNAcentral.